RNAcentral lists this transfer RNA (73 nucleotides) under Stegodyphus mimosarum. It matches the Rfam family "tRNA". From Rfam's summary of the family: Transfer RNA (tRNA) molecules are approximately 80 nucleotides in length. Their secondary structure includes four short double-helical elements and three loops (D, anti-codon, and T loops). The record is from Rfam by way of RNAcentral. Lineage: Eukaryota; Metazoa; Arthropoda; Arachnida; Araneae; Eresidae.
GCCUUCGUGGUGUAAUGGUCAGCACACUCGGCGCGUAUUCGAGAGGUCCGAGGUUCGAGUCCUGGUGAGGGCA